UAUAAGGGAGUUUAAGUUUUUACUUGCAACGUUUGACCACUCGUCUUAUUUAAAUUUUUUUGAAAUUAUUAAUUAUUUUAUUUGUGACUUAAUUUAUUAUCUACAGUACUUUAAACACAACUUUUUAUUUUUUAUAUUUGCAGAAAAAAUUUGAAUAAAACGAGUGGUCAAACGUUGUAAGCAAAAACUGAAAAUCCCUUAUA
Molecule: microRNA precursor, 203 nt
Filed under: Oryza sativa Japonica Group (Japanese rice)
Lineage: Eukaryota; Viridiplantae; Streptophyta; Magnoliopsida; Poales; Poaceae
Description: MIR812 microRNA precursor family
Rfam family: MIR812 microRNA precursor family
Source: Rfam by way of RNAcentral